Vigna unguiculata (cowpea) is the source of this 569-nucleotide long non-coding RNA. Lineage: Eukaryota; Viridiplantae; Streptophyta; Magnoliopsida; Fabales; Fabaceae. The record is from RefSeq and is a predicted model, not a curated record.
UGGAUGUAACAAAAGAGGAUUCUCACUAAACACUAAGGGAGCAUUGGGACUAGAGAAAAAGCCAAGACCUAGUGCCCGUGAAGGAUUUGUGUUGACAGAAGCACCAUGCCAUGCCAUUUUAACUCUUUGAAAUGCAAGAAAAAUGGAAGAUUGGAGUAGAAUUAAUAGUAGUUACCUGGAGUUGCUCGUCCAGUCGCUAAAAUCUCUCGCCUAGUAAGAAAGACUUGACCGUCUAGUGAGGAUACCUAGCCAACAUGUCAUGAAAGCUAAAGCUCCCAAAGCGAGAGGAUCUUUUAUCUCAACGUGAAAUCAAUUUUUGGAAAACAUUAAAAGUGUCAAGACUUGAAGAGAAAAGUAGUUUUUGGUAGGGAAACGCUAUUGAGACUCAAGACAUGGGCUGAGGCGCUUCUAAAGUUCAAAGGAUCCAUCUUUCUUCAUCCAUUCCACCAUUUCAAUUCCAUUUUCUAUUCUAUAUGUAUAGGAGUAGCUAAACUCCAUGUCAUUGGGGUUGGAUGUAAUGUACCUAAACUCAUUGUAGUUUCUUCUUUGCAAUAGAAUAUCUUUUGUUA